GACGAACGCUGGCGGCGUGCCUAACACAUGCAAGUCGAACGGGGCCCGCAAGGGUUCAGUGGCGAACGGGUGCGUAACACGUGAAGAAUUUGUCCAACGGCGGGGGAUAGCCGGCCCAACGGCCGGGUAAUACCGCGUACGAUCUUCGGGGGGCGAUCCUCUGGAGAUGAAAGACCGCAAGGCGCCGAUGGAGAACUUCGCGGCCUAUCAGCUAGUUGGUGAGGUCAUGGCUCACCAAGGCGACGACGGGUAGCUGGUCCGAGAGGAUGACCAGCCACAUUGGGACUGAGACACGGCCCACGACUCCUACGGGAGGGCAGCAGUGGGGAAUAUUGCGCAAUGGGCGAAAGCCUGACGCAGCGACGCCGCGUGUGGGA
This 377-nucleotide ribosomal RNA is filed under the name uncultured bacterium. RNAcentral's name for it is "bacterial SSU rRNA". It matches the Rfam family "Bacterial small subunit ribosomal RNA", at positions 28 to 408 of the family's 1533-position model. The record is from RNAcentral.